UGGGGAAUAUUGCGCAAUGGGCGAAAGCCUGACGCAGCGACGCCGCGUGAGCGAUGAAGCCUUUCGGGGUGUAAAGCUCAGUCAAGAGGAAUGAUAAUGACAGUACCUCUAGAGGAAGUCACGGCAAAUUACGUGCCAGCAGCCGCGGUAAUACGUAAGUGGCAAGCGUUAUCCGGAUUUACUGGGCAUAAAGAGCACGUAGGUGGUGAUUUAAGUCAGAUGUAAAAUCUCACAGCUCAACUGUGAUCUGCAUUUGAUACUGAAUUGCUAGAGAUCAGGAGAGGGAAGCGGAACUCACGGUGUAGCGGUGAAAUGCGUAGAUAUCGUGAGGAACACCAGUGGCGAAGGCGGCUUCCUGGACUGAUUCUGACACUAAGGUGCGAAAGCGUGGGGAGCAAAC
RNAcentral lists this ribosomal RNA (400 nucleotides) under uncultured bacterium. RNAcentral describes it as "bacterial SSU rRNA". It matches the Rfam family "Bacterial small subunit ribosomal RNA", at positions 355 to 773 of the family's 1533-position model. The record is from RNAcentral.